Xyrauchen texanus (razorback sucker) is the source of this 1055-nucleotide long non-coding RNA. RefSeq lists it as uncharacterized. The transcript has 3 exons. The record is from RefSeq and is a predicted model, not a curated record. NCBI's taxonomy places the organism in Eukaryota, Metazoa, Chordata, Actinopteri, Cypriniformes, Catostomidae.
AACUCUCCUCUUCCGUCCUGCUCCCUCACCCGGCUCUCUCCCCUCCCUCGGACUCCCCUGAACACUCUCCAACUCUCCGGAACACUCGUCAACUAUUCAACAGUUACCCUGUUAGACGCUUUGAACUUUCCGCGAGCAAUCCACGCGCUGGAAGCACCGACAGAAAGCCCAUCUCAAGGACACCACGAGGACACGACAUACACGCAGUCUUGCUCAGCUGACACAAAGGUCCACUUUCAGUCUUUUCCCCCUCACUGAUGAAUCUGCAUGGAGCCAUUCAGGACAAGGAGAGAGGGUGGCCAAAUUAGGCAGAUGACUCAGCUCAAGAUCUCCACAGUCCAUCAGCUUUGUUGCCUCUGAUGCCCUCCAUACAUGGGGUUCCAUUCUAUCCUCACACAGUUCUUUGGCUAUCUACACACGCAAGUUACCAGAGAUUGGAUGCUUGGAACAGCCAGUGUGCAGGGAGUCAUCAGUGUUUUUAAAUAAACACUUGAGCACCAUUGGGCUGUUCAUUUCAGGCGCUCUGUCACAUCUUCUGUGAAUGUGGCCACGACACUUCUUACAGUUGCCUCUGAUUUCUAUGUAUUUCUAUGUGGCUGAGAUGUUGUGUCUAUUUAAUUUAACAAAUGUGUAUAGAGCCUUUGCAGUGAUCUUGUUUUCUAGCUGCUUACUAAGCUCUGUCCAGAUGCUUUGAUUAGGAGUAGUUAUGUUGCCAUUUUGGACUUAUGGCCUCUUUUGAUGAACACAGGACUGUGAAAACGGAAUCUCUGUCAACUUCUGGUUUCUUGGACAUCUGCCAUAAGCAAAACAUAAUUACCCACUUAAAUAAUCCUGACUCAAAAAAUGUCAUGUUCAGUAUAAACUUGUUUUCAUUACUGUAUUGGUCUGAAUAUAAGGAUAAUAUAGUAAUAAUAUAUAAGGAUAAUGUAUCUUAUAUUAGGACCAAUAUGGUAAUGUUGACCCCUAGAUGCACAAUGUAUUAAAAAAAACUAACAUGGGUCACAUGUAAAACUGUAAUUAGCAUGUAUUAGUAUUAGCAAUGAGUAUUCUGUUCA